AGAAAGCAUAAAUUUUUCACUUUUCUAAUAUACGCCAAUAUGUAACUUGCAAUGAGAUAAGUUUAACUGCAUUUCCAAGAAAUAUUUUCUAUUGUUCUUGGAAUAAACUGCAUGAUGUAUGUUUGAAAGAAUCUACAUAAAAGCGAACUAGUUAUCUGCAAACAUAGUUAGCAAACAUGCGUUGCAAAUUGAUUAUAUUGUUUCUGUUCUUUGAGAUUAAUGUAUUUUGUGUGACGACGGAAAAUAUUAAUCGUAAUGAAACGUUCAUGUGGACAGCAUCCCAAAAAAAUCAACCAAACGCUACAUCAUUCGUUCUAAUAAAUCCAAAACAGAUUCAACAUGCGGAAAGAAUAAUAGAACAUUUCUUAACGAGAUUAAUUGGACCGAUUGCUCAGCCAAUAACUCUGAGAUUGACGUCUAAUAAUGGAAGUAAUUUGGAAAGUACAAUUAGUGAGAUAAGUAAUAUGAUACGUGCAAAAAUUAUGGAAUUUGCACGAACCAGCGGAUUAAUUACAUCGGUUCGGCAAUAUGAGCAAACAUUAUGGAACUCUACGACUUCCAAAGGCUGGUUUACCGAAGGUCUAGUCCAGGGAUCGUUCUUAUUAGGCGAUCUGAUUAGAAUCGGAGAAGAGGUUCAAUCUGCGAUCAAUCAUUACUUCAAAACGUAUAAUAUGAUCUUAUAUAAAGAAGAAUUAUUACCACGCACUGUAACGACAAAUUUUAAGUUUUUUAGUAUCAUAAAUGAUGCUGCUAGUUUUAACAAGAAAUUAUUUAAAUGUUUGUUAUUGAUAACAGACGAGAGAAAUUCAACAUUAUCUUUUAAUCUUAAUCGAGCUCUUGCAAACUUAGCAAAGGAAUCACCCAAUAUUACUGUGAAAUCGUUUAAAUCCAGUUUAGAUCGAGCAUUUAUUCGUUCCGCACCAAGUAACGAUUCAACCAGUGAACAAUUAUACAUGCUGCUAUGUCAGUCACUUGUUGAAAGGAUCAGUCAUUACGGUGAUUGUAUCAAAGAGUUACGUCGCUUCGUGACUUGCGUGUCAUCAUCGAGCGAUCAAGACUGGAAUGGAGCAAUCGGUCAUCACAGAAUUUUUGCCAAACCAUGGUUAAGCGUUAUUCAACACUUAAGUGGAUGUAAAAUUAAUAUCGACGAAGAUGGCAAUGCGAAUAUUCGCUGCAAAUUUUAUCGGAGACUGCCGAAAUCUACAACGCGGCAAGUAAAAUAUAUUUACGAGAAAAUAUUAGAUCAACGGAUACCUAAGCGGUCAUCUCUUCAUCACGUCGCAAAUGAACUCGGGAAUCUUCUUUCGAGAAGUAGAUGGGGGAGACAAUUAACGUACGACAUAUGUCAGUAUUUUGCUAUUUAUCAAGAAGGUCAAAGGAGAUUGAAUAUACUUUCGAAGAAUGCUGUUAAGGAUAAGAAAGCGGCUAUAAGAUAUAAAAAGAUGUCUAUAUCAUUAAAUAUAUAUAAAAAUGGAGUAUUACGAAAAACGAUGCUUGCUGUUGAAAAUGUUCAUCAUUCUGCUUUAGAGAUGCAAAAAUAUUUUAUUCAUGGUAUUAGAAAUUCUUUCAAUGAAUCAUGGCAGAAUCAUCUUAAAGUUCUUGCUUGCUUGUCAGAAUGGAUGACAAAAGUUUUAGAAUUAUUUGGAUGCACAAAUUUAAAUGAUACAGAUGUCGAUACGUCGAUUUCUACUGACAUUCCGCCAAUUAAUAUGACAGAUUCAAACAGUGCAAAUGAUGAACUUGAUGAAAAUAAUGAAACAAAACAUCUCAUAAUAUAUUCUAGGAAAAAUCAAAUAAAAAAGGAGACCGAUAUUACUUUCGAAAAACUAAUGCAAUCAAUGAAUCAUAUGAGUAAAAUGCGAAGCCAAAAUGACAAAAGCACUUUAGCAUGUCUCGCAAAUAAUUUGCUACUGGUUACUAUGUUCAUGGAAACAAUUAGUUUUGUUUCCACAUUAUUCUGUUUGGGAGACCAUAAAGAUGAAUCCAAUUUCGAACAAGAAGCGGAAGAUUAGAGUUUACUUAGACCUGGAACGUAGAUCAUUGUUUUGAAAAGAUUUUGCAGAUAUUGAUACAGUUAAAGAAAUUUCUCCGAUGGUACCAACUGUUUUUAAAGAAAUCGCCAAUAACUAUGGUGUAGACUAUGCAAAUUCUAUUAAAAGCAUACUUAUGAAUGUAACAAAUAAUUCUUACGGUUUAAUAAAAAGUAAGCGAUAAACUAAGAAA
RNAcentral lists this small RNA (2223 nucleotides) under Monomorium pharaonis (pharaoh ant). RNAcentral describes it as "uncharacterized LOC105837601". Lineage: Eukaryota; Metazoa; Arthropoda; Insecta; Hymenoptera; Formicidae. The record is from RNAcentral.